UGGAGACAAAUCAAUAAAUUGAGCAGGAGCAGUGCACAGAGAGCAGAUGGUCCUCACCCAGUGCUUGCAGGGGAAUGAAAAUGUGAAAUCAUGAAAUCACCAGGCUGCUGCUGUGGGACAGCACUCGGAUCUGCCUGGGUGCAGGGAGGAAUUCUCAGCCCAGCCUUUGUGCCAGCGUGCAGCUGAAUCCAAAUCUGACUCAGUACAGCAGAAAAUAAAUUCAGGUGCUCAGAGGGAUGCACAAACAGAACUUCUAUGACUUCACAAAAAAAGUGAAAUCUGGCGCUUGGCAGAGGCAGAAGGAAACAUCUGGAUGCUUUUGAUCAAAGAUGUUUAAGGAAAAUGAGCCUGCAGAGCAUCAAGAAUGGCACAGUUUGAGGAAGAGAAAGGAAGAAUGAAACUCUCCUCAGCAGAAGUUGGGAUGUGAUUUCUGCAGUUUCCUGAGCGCACAGAAGAGUGGAGAGGACCUUCUUUGCCCAUUUGCUAGAGAACAGUUGAUAUUACAUUUGACAAUCCUGUAAUCCCAUUUAUAUCCAGCUUGCUGCUGGCCACCUGUGAGCAAUUUUAUUCUGUGGCUUUUUGUUUUCAUCUUGAGAGCACUCAUUUGUCUGUGCAAGAUGAUUCCCUUGGACUGCCUCAGGAUCUUGGGCCCACCACAACAGCUGGGUGCUUAAUUCAGACACUUGGAGUUACUGCAUCCUGAUUUUUGGUGGGAGUUUCAGUCUGUGGGAUGAAUCCUGCGCUCAGAAAAUUGCUUUUCAUGCUGUGCUGUUUGCUGCCGUUGUCCUGUGAAGGUGAAGUUGUGUCCCAGUGCAUGCAAAAUGAAAAGUAAAGGAACCUGACUGGCUGACUGCUCUUUUGGACAGCAAAAUGAAACAGUCCUUAGCUGCUGGUAAUGGUAGCAGCAGUGUUUUCUUGAUUUCAUAAUCCAGACAAAAUGAUUUUGGUGUUUAAAUUCCAUUUUAAGGGGUUUGGGAGGGGAUGUUGUCUCCUGUAACAUGGUCCUGCUCCUGUGAUCUCCAGCUCAGGUAUUUACAUUUUUCCCCUUUUUCAGUGAAUUUCCCAGGCUCUGCAGUGCCAAGGGAUGCUGGGGGGGCUCUGCUUUGGAUAUUUUGCAUCAGAUCCCAACAUUUCAGUGCUUCUGGAGGGCUGAGGUGUUUGUAGGGGCAGGGAUGUAGGGAGGUGCUGAGAUACCACUGCAGGCUCCACUGAAUAUCAGCUUUAUCAGCUCCUCUGACUUACCUGGUGCCCUGCUGGCCAAAAAUAUUCUUAUUUGGAUGUACAUUUUUGGAUUUUUUUUUUUAAUGGAUUUUUUUCCAAAACCUCUGUCGAGGUUCUGUUCUGUGAGGUGUGGGUGACAUUUGCUUUCUGAAAGCUGAGAUUUGUGGCCACUGUGUAAUACUGAAUUCUCUGUGUCUGACCUGGCCAUGUGCACAAAUUCUCUUUUCUCUGUGACUGUGCAUGUGUGUAUAACAGAAAUAGGGGAGGUUGCAGAGUAAGGCUUUUGUAAGAGUUUUAUAUUCAGAUUUAAUAGCUGGAGUGUAGUGAGGUUUUGAGCCAAUUGAUGAAAUUAAACUUUAAAGGUUCUAUUUGAGCAGAAAAAUAAAUUUUUCUCUCUUACUCCAUGCACUGUUGAAGUGUUGAUAUUGUGUUUAUGUCCAGGUAUUACCUAAGGCAGAGGUGAAAAGCUGUGCUUGGAUUUUCCUGGAAUGAGAUUAUGUUUAGGAGUGCUUAAUUAAUGACAGAAGGGGAAUUUACAUGUGCACUUCUUUAGAUCAGUGAUGCACAUUUUCAUGGUGUAUUUUGAGAGUUGAGAUGGAAGUUGAGACUCUGUUUUGUGAAAAGAAAAUGAAAUAAAAGGCAGGAACGUGACCUGAAUUAAAUAAGUCUAUUCUUAUCUUGAAUGAUAAAAAGAACA
Molecule: non-coding RNA, 1918 nt
Organism: Zonotrichia albicollis (white-throated sparrow)
Lineage: Eukaryota; Metazoa; Chordata; Aves; Passeriformes; Passerellidae
Source: RefSeq, a predicted model, not a curated record